This 593-nucleotide ribosomal RNA is filed under the name Leccinellum sp. RNAcentral describes it as "partial large subunit ribosomal RNA". It matches the Rfam family "Eukaryotic large subunit ribosomal RNA", at positions 53 to 639 of the family's 3401-position model. The record is from RNAcentral. Lineage: Eukaryota; Fungi; Basidiomycota; Agaricomycetes; Boletales; Boletaceae.
GAGGAAAAGAAACUAACAAGGAUUCCCCUAGUAACUGCGAGUGAAGCGGGAAAAGCUCAAAUUUUGAAUCUGGCAGUCAUUUAGGCUGUCCGAAUUGUAAUCUAGAGAAGCGUCUUCCGCGCUGGCCCGUGUACAAGUCUCCUGGAAGGGAGCGUCAUAGAGGGUGAGAAUCCCGUCUUUGACAUGGACUACCAGUGCUUAUGUGAUGCGCUCUCGACGAGUCGAGUUGUUUGGGAAUGCAGCUCAAAAUGGGUGGUAAAUUCCAUCUAAAGCUAAAUACAGGCGAGAGACCGAUAGCGAACAAGUACCGUGAGGGAAAGAUGAAAAGAACUUUGAAAAGAGAGUUAAAUAGUAUGUGAAAUUGCUGAAAGGGAAACGCUUGAUGUCAGUCGCGUUGAUUAGGGAUCAACCCUUAAUCUGGUGUAAUUCCUAGUUGACGGGUCAGCAUCAGCUCUGGUCAUUAUAUAAAGGCAAGGGGAAAGUAACACUCUUUCGGGAGUGUGAUUAUAGACCUUUGUUGGAUGUAGUGGUUGGGGCUGAGGAACUCUGCACGGACUUUACGGUUUUGUGCAAGGGAUGCUGGCAUAAUGGCC